Long non-coding RNA from Alosa sapidissima (American shad), 854 nucleotides. RefSeq lists it as uncharacterized. The record is from RefSeq and is a predicted model, not a curated record. NCBI's taxonomy places the organism in Eukaryota, Metazoa, Chordata, Actinopteri, Clupeiformes, Clupeidae. The transcript is spliced from 3 exons.
AACGACUGAAACAAUGCCCCGAAAUGAGCCACCUCCUUGCGCACACCCGACCAGCCUAUCUCUCUUCCUUUGUCACGUGAACUCGCGCGGUCGCGCGCAGGGCACGCCAGAUGCGCAGCACCAUAGCAGUUCAGUAAGCGUCUUCAGCUAGCAGGCAUGGUCGCUGACAGGCUGCUUCUCCCGUGCCCCAUCAGCCAGAUCCAUCUGUGUCAUCGCACACUCGUUGGCCGUCCAACUCUUGGAGGGGUCAGUGCUAGGCAUUGAUGUCACACAAGAUAGCCAUGUUAAGGAAGUGAAAUGAAACUCCAGCAACCGGAUUCAGAUUGUGCAGGAGGACCAGGAGGGCUGGUCUGACAUUUUUGAAGUAAAUCAUCAGAUAAAUACUUGGUUAUGUGAACCAUCCCAAUUACCUGUGGGACUCAUCCAGAAUUCCCUCUUAUGAUUGUAUGUAUUCUGAAGUGGAUGAAUUGAUUGUUUGAUUGAAAGCACUUUGGGCUCACAUGUUGCUGAACAUGCGGGGGUCUCAUUUCAAGUCUGAGUGAACGACACUUUUACACAUCUGUGUGUGCACCACAUGUCCCUGCAUUAGAACUCACCCUCCAGUUAGGUCACUUCCAUCCACCCACUGCCAUUGGCCUUGGAUUUUGCUCAGUCCAAUCCAGUAUCCAUGCCAUAUGUCAUAGUACGACGCUGUGUGUUUAUUGAUGAAGGCCUACAGCACAAUGAUACUGGUGAAAUAUUUAUUUAGACUGUAUUGGAAUUGGAAUUGAAACAUCUGCCCAGAAAUAUUUGUGUAGUGAAAUAUGUUCAAGUGCAGAUAAACCCAAAUUUGUUUUUGUGGUAAGGAAUUUUGA